Bos taurus (domestic cattle) is the source of this 1020-nucleotide long non-coding RNA. The record is from Ensembl. Lineage: Eukaryota; Metazoa; Chordata; Mammalia; Artiodactyla; Bovidae.
AGGGGGUAUCCUGGGAACCCCCCUCCCCUCCUCCUUCUCUCACUCAGCACAUGCACUGAGAAAAGGUCAUGUGAGUAACACAGUCUGCAAGCCAAGAAGAGCACUCUUACAGAAACUGCAUCAGUCAGCACCUUGAUGUUGGACUUCCCAACCUCCAGACUGCAAACUUCAGGGCUUCCCAGAUGGUGCUAGUAUUAAAGAACCCAUCUGCCAAUGAAGGAGACAUAAGAGACACAGGUUUGAUCCCUGGGUGGGGAAGAUCCCCUGGAAGAGGGUAUAACAACCCACUCCAGUGUUCUUGCCUGGAGAAUCCCAUGGACAGAGGAGCCUGGCAGGCUACACGAAUGAAGCGACUUGGCACGCAUGAACGAAAACUUCAGUGUGCGUCAGUACCACCUGUGGGGCUUCUGAAAACACAGAUCUACUGGGCCCUGCCCUCAGGAGGUCCUGAACUAUAGCCCUCCGGGGACCUCUAUUCACGGGAUUUCCCAGGCAAGAAUAGCAGAGUCGGUUGCCGUUUCCUUCUCCAGGGGAUCUUCAUGACCCAGAGAUUGAACCCACAUUUCCAGCAUUGCAGGCAGACUCUUAAUCACUGAGCCACAUGUGCAUACGACUGAAAUCAUUCUAUAUAUACAAUUUUGUACUUGAUUUUUCUUUCUUUUGGUAUUCUCUUUUGACUAUUGUCCAUAUUAUUUAAAAAUUAGCAAGUACAGGGUAUAUUAACAAUCGGGUUAUUGCUUUGAACUACCAGUGAUAUUGUUGCUUCCCUUGGGAAAGGGUCUUCAGAGCUCCUUAAUCUAUUAUUUUGGAAUAAUAAUUUUGGGAGCCUUGGGCUCCCUUCUCAUUUUUUCAUCCCUUAACAGGCGUUGGUGGGAGGACCAUGGGUAAAUAGGCAGUUGAUGAUCAAAUGUCUUCCCUUUGUGUAAAGGUUCUCUUGAGCAAAUAAUAAGUGUUAGUCGCUCAUCGUGUCCGACUUUUUGUGACCCCAUGGACUGUAGCUUAUCAGGAUCCUCUGUCCAU